RNAcentral lists this ribosomal RNA (253 nucleotides) under uncultured bacterium. RNAcentral describes it as "partial 16S ribosomal RNA". It matches the Rfam family "Bacterial small subunit ribosomal RNA", at positions 524 to 776 of the family's 1533-position model. The record is from RNAcentral.
UACGAAGGGGGCUAGCGUUGUUCGGAAUUACUGGGCGUAAAGCGCACGUAGGCGGGUUUGUAAGUAGGGGGUGAAAUCCCCGGGCUCAACCCGGGAACUGCCUUCUAGACUGCAAGCCUGGAGGUCAGGAGAGGCGAGUGGAAUUCCGAGUGUAGAGGUGAAAUUCGUAGAUAUUCGGAGGAACACCAGUGGCGAAGGUGACUCGCUGGACUGAUACUGACUAUGAGGUGCGAAAGCGUGGGGAGCAAACAGG